RNAcentral lists this ribosomal RNA (253 nucleotides) under uncultured bacterium. Its description in RNAcentral is "partial 16S ribosomal RNA". It matches the Rfam family "Bacterial small subunit ribosomal RNA", at positions 524 to 776 of the family's 1533-position model. The record is from RNAcentral.
UACGUAGGGUGCAAGCGUUGUCCGGAAUUAUUUGGCGUAAAGCGCUCGUAGGCGGUUUGUUGCGUCGGCUGUGAAAUCCCGAGGCUCAACCUCGGGUCUGCAGUCGAUACGAGCAAACUAGAGUGUUGCAGGGGAGACUGGAAUUCCUGGUGUAGCGGUGAAAUGCGCAGAUAUCAGGAGGAACACCGGUGGCGAAGGCGGGUCUCUGGGCAACAACUGACGCUGAGGAGCGAAAGCGUGGGGAGCGAACAGG